CUAUAGCGGAGGAGGAGGGACAUUACCGAGUUUACACUCCCAAACCCCUGUGAACAUACCACUUGUUGCCUCGGCGGAUCAGCCCGCUCCCGGUAAAACGGGACGGCCCGCCAGAGGACCCCUAAAACUCUGUUUCUAUAUGUAACUUCUGAGUAAAACCAUAAAUAAAUCAAAACUUUCAACAACGGAUCUCUUGGUUCUGGCAUCGAUGAAGAACGCAGCAAAAUGCGAUAAGUAAUGUGAAUUGCAGAAUUCAGUGAAUCAUCGAAUCUUUGAACGCACAUUGCGCCCGCCAGUAUUCUGGCGGGCAUGCCUGUUCGAGCGUCAUUUCAACCCUCAAGCACAGCUUGGUGUUGGGACUCGCGUUAAUUCGCGUUCCUCAAAUUGAUUGGCGGUCACGUCGAGCUUCCAUAGCGUAGUAGUAAAACCCUCGUUACUGGUAAUCGUCGCGGCCACGCCGUUAAACCCCAACUUCUGAAUGUUGACCUCGGAUCAGGUAGGAAUACCCGCUGAACUUAAGCAUAUAAUAACCCGGGAGAGAACU
This 544-nucleotide ribosomal RNA is filed under the name Fusarium oxysporum. RNAcentral's name for it is "eukaryotic LSU rRNA". The stretch from base 174 to 327 matches the Rfam family "5.8S ribosomal RNA". Lineage: Eukaryota; Fungi; Ascomycota; Sordariomycetes; Hypocreales; Nectriaceae. The record is from RNAcentral. RNAcentral also lists the same sequence under 1 other name.